AAACACCAAUCUGGGUGUUGCUGUGAAGAUAUUUCGUAGAUGUGACUAAUGUCCCUGGUGGGUUGACUCUAAGUCAGCAAACUUAUCCUAGAUUCAGGGGCCUGAUUCAAUCAGUAAAGAGCUUUCUGAGCAGAACUGAAGGUUCCCCGAGGAGGAACCAAAUCUGCCAGUGGACAGCAGCUUCCUCUGAUGCCUGGGCAUUCCUGCUUGCCUUUCCAGAAGGCCCACUGUAUGGCCUUCAGAUUCUCCUAACUAGCCCCACAAUUAGGUAAAAUCACUCACAGAAGUCAAAUAUCUUAAAUAGAGCUCGGGGUGGGUGUACUCAUGGGGAGGAGGCCGGACCUGCUCUUCCUCGCCUGCCUGGGGCUCCAGUGAGUCACCCUGAGAAGUGGCCACCAAGGUCAUGCUGUGUGGUGAUUGAUAGCAUGGACUGUGCCUGAGUUUGACGCCCAGUCAAAUACGUGAUGCUCCCCAUUACCAAGGGCCUUCCCCUUCCUCUGACCAAGAGCAUGAAGGGGUUUCUGGGGAAAAUGAUGCUUGUGACCUCCCCAUUCAUUAGACUCUGGCUGAAACAAAAGGGAAUGAGAGGAAACUAUGACUUUUAAGUCAAAGAGUAAAGGCAACACGGACCACAACAGUUGGAACAGCCCUCCCAGGCCCCUUCUGCAGUGGGCACUGUGGCUGGGCCACAGCAUCCUGACUCCUCAUCAUCCACGGACUCAGGACUCCUCAAGGACAACAGGUGGAUUAGGUCAGAUGACGGAAUCUACACUUGGAAAGAAACACCUGCAGUUCACUGAAAGAAUGACCUAAUCACUACCGGCUCACAACAAACUACAGAGUGUGGUUCUGUUAGAACUCAGUCCCUCCUCACCAGGGACCUCGUGAAGCCCUCUGGCAGGAGCAGCCAAGGGAAGCAUCUCCAGCCUAGGUUAGCUGCCAUCCUUUUCUGGUCCAUGUUCCCUGUCAUUGCGGACCUUUGCUACUUCCUGCGCUGUUUUCCCUCCAGCCCAGCUGGGCCCAGGCAGGGCGCCCUGGGAGUCGGCGUUUCCACACCAUCUGCACAUGGGAUGAGAUUCUUGGUCUCUCUGCAGGUUUACACCUUGGGGGCAGAGCUCUCAGCAAGUAUGCUUCUACACUCUGGUAACCCUUCUUCCUAAUUCGCUUCUGUCCAAGUCAGAUAUUGGCCCUGGGGAGGUUUGUAUCUCUCAUGAUCAAUUGUCUUAAAUGUCUUUGAGAGUUUUCUGUUCCCUAGGGAAUGGCUUCUCUCUCCCGCCACCAUUGCAUGCUCCUCACUCAUGAAGUGGCCCUCUGCACUUUGGUGAUCUCUGGCUUUGAGCCGGAAAGGAAUAGCUGCUGCCCACUGUCCAGAUAUCACUGCCUUCUAUGUAGCAAACACUCCUGUUGGCUCUAGCAUCCGGGGCUUUAGGGUCACUAUUUUGUGCCCACCAUGUGUGGGCUUCGCGAAGAUGACUAAGGAAAAAUGGGCUUCUUGUCGUAGCUAUUGGCGUAACUACCAUUUAUUGAGCAUAUACUAUGUUCCAGGCAUUAUGCUAAGCAGCUUACAUAUAUUAUCUCUAGUCCUGGUGGCAAACCUAUUUUAUAGAUGUGGAAACUGAGUCUGAGAGAAGUUGUAUAACUUGUCCUGGCUCACACAGAUGGGAAGUGGCAGAGAUGGGACUUGAAUCCAAGCCUGCAUACAGAAGACCAGACUCUUUCCUUUCCACCAUUCUUCCAGUCACUCAACAAACAUUUACUGAGUCACCGACCAUCUCCCAGACAUGUUCUUUUGACGACAUCCUUCAUCCUAACUCUCUUGAUCUGUGACAACGAAGAGUUCCUCAAGUCCACCACAAGGAAAAAGUCUAGAACAGCAAAGAAAAGGAAAACAAAAUUACCUAUCUGUGUGUUAAUUUGAAGUUUGCUAAUCACCAGGAGAAAAUAAAAACCAGGUGAGAAUUACUGUGUCAA
Long non-coding RNA from Canis lupus familiaris (dog), 1971 nucleotides. RefSeq lists it as uncharacterized. The record is from RefSeq and is a predicted model, not a curated record. The transcript has 3 exons. Lineage: Eukaryota; Metazoa; Chordata; Mammalia; Carnivora; Canidae.